Cercocebus atys (sooty mangabey) is the source of this 97-nucleotide unclassified non-coding RNA. It matches the Rfam family "Y RNA". Rfam says of the family: Y RNAs are components of the Ro ribonucleoprotein particle (Ro RNP), in association with Ro60 and La proteins. The Y RNAs and Ro60 and La proteins are well conserved, but the function of the Ro RNP is not known. The record is from Ensembl. Lineage: Eukaryota; Metazoa; Chordata; Mammalia; Primates; Cercopithecidae.
GACUGGCUCGAUGGUAGUAGGUUAUCAGAACUUAUUAAUAUUUAGUGUCACUAACAUUGGUAUACAAGCCCCCACUACUAAAUUCGACUGGCUUUAA